GCACGGAAGCAGGCUGUUGCGUCCCUUGUUGUACUGUUAGAGCGGGCUCUGCCCUGGUGAAUUCUACUCACAUGGAAGUUAAUUCCAAAGUUUCAUUUUUUAAACAUGAUGAUUAAAAAGAAGCUUUUGACUCAGGUUUAGAGAUAGGGAACUCACUUCUUAAGGUGAUUUCAGUGCAGAGGAAUAUGAAGACCGCUCAGGGCCAUGACCUUGCCUCCUUUCCUGGAGUUCGGUGUCCCGUUCCCAGCCCACCUCAGAGCCUGGACGGUGGAGAGGAAGCGCCCAGGCAGGCUUUUACGAACUGACCGGCAGCCACUCAGGGAAUAUAAACUAGGACGGAGAAUUGAGAUCUGCUUAGAGCCCCUUCAGAAAGGCGAAAACUUGGGCCCCCAGGACGUGCUGCUGAGGACACAGGUGCGCAUCCCUGGUGAGAGGACCUACACCCCUGCCCUGGACCUGGUGUGGAACGUGGCCCAGGGUGGGACUGCCGGCUCCCUGAGGCAGAGAGUUGCCGAUUUCUAUUGUCUUCCCGUGGAGAAGAUUGAAAUUGCCAAAUACUUUCCCGAAAAGUUCGAGUGGCUUCCGAUAUCUAGCUGGAACCAACAAAUAACCAAGAGGAAAAAGAAAAAAAAACAAGAUUAUUUGCAAGGGGCACCGU
RNAcentral lists this small RNA (658 nucleotides) under Pan troglodytes (chimpanzee). RNAcentral describes it as "processed transcript". The record is from RNAcentral. Lineage: Eukaryota; Metazoa; Chordata; Mammalia; Primates; Hominidae.